GCCGCGGUAAUACGAAGGGUGCAAGCGUUACUCGGAAUUACUGGGCGUAAAGAGCGCGUAGGUGGCUUGUCAGGUCUGGUGUGAAAUUUCGGGGCUCAACCCCGAACCUGCAUCGGAAACCGGCUUGCUAGAGUCUGGGAGAGGAGAGUGGAAUUCCUGGUGUAGCGGUGAAAUGCGUAGAUAUCAGGAGGAACACCGGUAGCGAAGGCGGCUCUCUGGAACAGUACUGACGCUGAGGCGCGAAAGCUAGGGGAGCGAACAG
Molecule: ribosomal RNA, 262 nt
Filed under: uncultured bacterium
Lineage: Bacteria
Description: partial 16S ribosomal RNA
Rfam family: Bacterial small subunit ribosomal RNA
Source: RNAcentral